UAAAUAAUUUAAAACACAGGCCCUUAAGGAGUUCCCAGUGUGGCAGGUGGGCUAAAGGAUCUGGAGUUGCCUUAGCAACUGCAGCUAGUAUUCAAUUCCUGGCCAUGUGCCACAGGGUGGGGCCAAUUAAAAAAAAAAAGUUAAUCAAGUCAAUCAUUAGUGCCUCACAAUAUCUGCUUUUGGCUCAGUGAACAGUGAUUUUUAAUCUUCAAUCUAAUUUAAUCUAGGAGGAUUCUUGAAUGUUGUAUACUAAAGUGCAAGUGCUAGAUAGCUUCAGAAGGCCUCCAGGAAGCUAUUCAGACAAAUGUGAGUCAACAUCAUAGUGACACAAAAAUAAGGAAAUCACCAAAGACUGCCUUGUGAAAUGGAGAGAACUAAAUGUUAAUGCAUCGUUGUAGUUUACCUACCCAAGUGUAGGAAGCAGCCACUCUAACAGCUGAGAAAAGUCUGAAGGACAGACCAUUCUCACACUGGGCAACUAGAUAAGCAAAUGAGGCAGGAGUGCAAAUAGGUUGCAGUCACCACAGGGAAUCAUUAGACUAGUAAAAAGAAGUGUGAAAAGAGCUGUCCAUCACCCAUCAGUCUUCCUGAUGGGUGCAAGAGCUUCCUGAAACUCAGAAAGCCACAACCCUUGCUUGACACUAUCUGUCCCCCAGUGAAAGUAAACAGACCUAAGACACACUAGAACCAAAUUGAUGACUUCACAGAACCCAAACAUACUUGGCAUUUGGCAGUUCCCUUCCUCUGGUAUAUAAAUGACAUUAUCUAAAUGGCUAGAAAACUGGGGAAAACGUGAAAUAACGUUUUUAUAACCCAGGACUCUUGAUCAAAUAUAUCAAAAAUUCAGUUAAAUGGCAAUGACCCAGAGUAAUCAAUCACCCUAAGUUACAUAUUAAUUGAAUCUUUCACAAUGUCACCAAGAUUUGCCUGGAUAGGCAAAAGAGAAAAGGACUCCAAAACCUGCAGGACUGCUUCCUGACAUUUGGGAUAGAGGAGGAUGAGAGUAGAGUGUUUAGGGAUAUGGACUCUAGAACAAAUUGUUUAUUAGUUCAGUGUCCCUUACUUGUUAGCUGGUGAUCUUAGACAAGUUAGCCUUUCUGUGCUUCGAUUUCCUUAUCUGUAAAAUGAGAAUGUUAGGCUCUAUCCCAUAGGGCAGUUAUGAUAAUUAAAUGUGUUUAUUAAAAGUAAAAAGUUUACAACGGCAUUAUUUGUUUGCUAUUUCUGGCAAUUUCCCGUUUAUUUUCUACAAAGUGGUGGGAGACAAGGCUUCACCUUUAACUAAAUGCCUGUGGUUCCAGGUGUAAUUAAGGAGAAAAAGGAAGUCAGGGAGAAGGGGGUUGGAAAAAAAAGAAAAUCUGACACCUCUUGAUUCCAAAACUUACUACAAAAUAGCAGUCAUCAAGAUACUGUGGUACUGGAGUUCCUGUAAUGGCACAACAGAAACGAAUAUGACUAGGAACCAUGAGGUUGCAGAUUCUUUAACCACUGUGCCACGAUAAGAACUCCUAUCUACAGGUUUUUCAUCUAUGGAUCAAGAAUAUUCAGGAAAAAAAAACAAAAACAAAAAACAGAAAGUUCCAAAAAGCAAAACUUAAAUUUGCCAAAUCCAUACAACUAUUUGCCCAUCAUUCACACUGAACUUACAACUACAGUUGACCCUUAAACAAUACAGGUUUGAACUUCACAAGGCCAACUUACACUCAGUUCUUCAAUAAAUAAUAUAUUACUACACAAUCCAUAGCUGACUGAAUCCAAAUGAAUAUGAGACUUGAAUAUCCAGAUUUUGGUAUGCAGGGCAGGUCCUAGAACCAAUCCCUGCAGAUACCAAGGGACAACAGUACUUACAUAGUAUUUACAUUGUAUUAGGCAUUAGAAGUAAUCUAGAGAUGAUUUAAUAUAAAUGAAAUGGCGUGUACAAGAUAUACGCAAAUACUACGUCCUUUUUUUUUGGCAGCACCUGUGGCAUGUGGAAGUUCCUGGGCCAAGGAUCAAACCCAAGUGGCUGCAGUAACAAUGCAGUGCCAAAAGAGAACUCCACUACGCCAUUAUAAUAAGGGACAUAAGCAUCUGCAGGUUUUGGUUAUCUGUGAGGAUCCUGGAGCCAGUACCCCAAAGGAUAACAAUCUUCAUUUCUAUAUUCCCUACAAUGCCUAGCAGAGUCAAAAACAGCAAUGAACAGAAAUAUGCACUCACCAAUUAAAUUAAUGAUAAGAAACCUAGGCUCCCUAUGUUAAUGGAUAAAAAUGUGUUAGUAUGAUAAAGAGUUAAUUUUAUAACUUUCUGAAAAGGAAACUUUCAAAAGCUCAAGUUACUAAAAUUAGACAUUACCUCAAAUUUACUUCCUCUUAGUUACUUCCCUUCUUUUCUGAACUGGCCUUGAGUCUCAUUCUUCAAGUAGGAAGUUAUUUCUUUUCAAAGAAGACUUACAAGUAACAAGCCAUUGUAUGUAAAACUCCCUAGUCCCUACAUCCAUGUAUCAAACACCACCAAGAAGAGGAGAAAGAAAAGACUAAAUGUCUGUCUUAUCACCUUAGAUAUGGCAAAAAGCCUUGAGGAAAAGACCAGUACUCUUGGAGUAUUUUAGAGGGCAGCAGUUUUCAACCAUGAUGAAGAGACUCAGUAUAGGGGAUCAAACAUAAUUUGUUAAUAAUAGCUAAUGUACUGAUAAUUGCAAGCAAUUUAUUUUUUCCAUAAUUAGAGCAGAUUAAAGGUUACCUGAUAUAGUAGUGUUCUUUUUCCUAAAAUGAAAAUUUCCCAAUUGAACAAAUAACCUUGGUUUAACGCCAAAAAGAGUUUUUAAGGCCAAUAAGCAUUCCUUUCUUGCAUUCCAUUAAGUGUUCCCGAAUAGAAAAGGCCUGGAAAUUGUGCAUCACCAUGGUUAUCUUACCUUGUGAAUAAUCAUGAUUACUGACUAUAGUGGAGGAAAGUGUAAUCACAUGCACUCUAACCUCUACCUCAUUCAGAUUCUGGAAGAGGACAGCUGACACAAGCUGGGAGGAUUCCAAGUGAUCCUUAUCUACUAUCCCUUCCCACCCAAAACAGUACUGUACCAUCAACCUUACUUGACCAAACGUUACUUUUGGCUUUCAAAAUCUGAGUCUCAUCCUAAAUGUGUCUCAUGAACAUACAGCAUCUACUAUAUGGACUAUUCAAUAAAAACAGAAAUAUUCAUUACAUUGAUAGGUCCCACAGAGGCUAGUCAAAGCAAAAGGUUCUAGACGUUCUCUGUGGCAUAGCAGGUUAAGGAUCCUGCAUUGUCACUGUAGUGACUCAGGUUGCUUCAGUGGUGAAGGUUUCAUCCCUGGCUUAGGAACCUCCACAUGCCACACAAGCAGGGCAAAAAAAAAAAAAAAAAAAAAAAA
Molecule: long non-coding RNA, 3362 nt
Filed under: Sus scrofa (pig)
Lineage: Eukaryota; Metazoa; Chordata; Mammalia; Artiodactyla; Suidae
Description: lncRNA (ENSSSCG00035060360.1)
Source: RNAcentral